GAAUUUUCCGCAAUGGGCGAAAGCCUGACGGAGCAAUACCGCGUGAGGGAUGAAGGCCUUUGGGUUGUAAACCUCUUUUAUCAAGGAGGAAGUUCUGACGUGUACUUGAUGAAUAAGCAUCGGCUAACUACGUGCCAGCAGCCGCGGUAAGACGGAGGAUGCAAGUGUUAUCCGGAAUCACUGGGCGUAAAGCGUCUGUAGGUGGUUUAAAAAGUCCACUGUUAAAGGUUGAAGCUUAACUUCAAAAAUGCCGUGGAAACUUUUAAACUUGAGUAUGAUAGGGGUAGAGGGAAUUCCAGUGGAGCGGUGAAAUGCGUAGAUAUUGGAAAGACCACCGAUGGCGAAGGCACUCUACUGGGCCAUUACUGACACUGAGAGACGAAAGCUAGGGGAGCAAAUGGG
Molecule: ribosomal RNA, 402 nt
Filed under: uncultured bacterium
Lineage: Bacteria
Description: bacterial SSU rRNA
Rfam family: Bacterial small subunit ribosomal RNA
Source: RNAcentral